Molecule: transfer RNA, 61 nt
Filed under: Eubranchipus grubii
Lineage: Eukaryota; Metazoa; Arthropoda; Branchiopoda; Anostraca; Chirocephalidae
Description: tRNA-Val
Source: RNAcentral
UAAGAGGGAGCUUGAAUAAGUAUCCCAUUUACACUGGGGAGAUCCCAUUAGGGCCUUUUAA